Molecule: unclassified non-coding RNA, 675 nt
Filed under: Hevea brasiliensis (rubber tree)
Lineage: Eukaryota; Viridiplantae; Streptophyta; Magnoliopsida; Malpighiales; Euphorbiaceae
Source: RNAcentral
ACUGUAUUACAAAGGUAUGAGAAAAAUGAAUUGGCUGUACAACCUCUAAUUUCCUCUUUCUGUUUUUAUAGCCUUCGGUAAUUGGAUAGAGAAUUAUUAGACCUUCUCAUAUUCUGUUGUUUAAGGCUCAUUUCUUUUGGAUUGAUAUAAUAUGACUAUACUUUCUCAGAGAGUUGGAUGUAUUGAGAUUUAUGCCAUUUUUGUUGAUGUUUUCCUGGAGUAGUAGCACUAACUUAUUAAUGAAUGGCAAUUUACUAGUUACUGUUAAUUAAUUGCUCAAGGCACAUGGAUUAUGCUUAAUUCUGUCUUAGUUGAAAACUGUAUGCACCAGUGAAUUCCAUCAGUAGAAGGAACUGGUUGUGUUUGUAUGGAUUGAAAUUUUAGUCUUAUGGUUGUGAGAGUUCCUUUUUGUACUGGGUUGUGUUAUUUUGUUUAGUAUAAAAUUUUACACCUAUACUGAGAGGUAGAGGGAACUGAUCGUGUUAGUAUGGAUUGAGAUUUUAGUCUUAUUGUUGUGACUUGUGAGAGUUCCUUCAUGUAGUAGGUUUUGUUAUUUUGUUUAGUAUAAAAUUUUACACCUAUACUGAGAGGUAGAGGGAACUGAUCGUGUUAGUAUGGAUUGAGAUUUUAGUCUUAUUGUUGUGACUUGUGAGAGUUCCUUCAUGUAGUAGGUUU